Molecule: long non-coding RNA, 1283 nt
Organism: Oncorhynchus nerka (sockeye salmon)
Lineage: Eukaryota; Metazoa; Chordata; Actinopteri; Salmoniformes; Salmonidae
Exons: 3
Source: RefSeq, a predicted model, not a curated record
GUAGAUUGUUUAACCCCGGAAAAGGGUAUUGCGCGGGUAAGUUUGUUUGCUAGUUAGCCUGCUUAGUAAAGUUGGCUUCAUAGCAAUCACAGAAAAAUAAAGUGGUGACAGCUGCAUAGAAGUACGGUAUUUGACAAGAGUUAAAGGGUAUAUUGGGAGGUGGUGUCCCGUCCCCCCAGGCCGUUUGCAUGGUGUACUGUACUACCCGAUAGGAUCAUGUAGUGGCAUAGUAACGUUAGUGGGUUUUUAAUGAGUGUAGGUAGCAGCUGCAGAGAAAGACCUUGGAGUACGAGAUUUUACUGCAGAAGAAGUAAUUAUGUUGGGGGGGGGUGAUUUUAAUGAAAUAGGGGUAUAUACCGUAGGUGUAGGGUUAGUUGGUGGAUUUAUUUAUUUUAGGAACAGGAAUAAUGAGAAUUGAAUGUAGGUAGGAAAUGACUGGCCUCACUUUAGUACAGCAGCGGUGUAUGUACAUUUAAAUUGUAUGCGAUAGGCCAAUCCCGAAGAAGGAGAAUCAAAUCAAAUGUAUUUAUAAAGCCCUUCUUACAUCAGCUGAUAUCUCAAAGUGCUGUAUAGAAACCCAGCCUAAAACCCCAAACAGCAAUGCAGAGAAGAGGCUAGCUGGCUUGUGCUUGUAGUCAAAUAAUAAAAAAAGAUGUUCAACGAAAUCGUUUUUCGUGCGCGUGUAGUGUCCGUUAUGGAAACUUUAACAGCAGCAGCCGUGCGAGCAGUGUGUCAAAUAAUGGAAGAAAGCUACGCUGCCCUUCGUGUGGAAAUGGAGUGUAGCCAUGAACCGAACAGGAAGCCCCUGACGAUGGAGAAGGAGACUGCAAGCAUUUAACCCUUGCCGUUCUCCUGAUCGUAUACAAAUGGAAGGGGGGCAAUAACGAAGCAAUAUACCAGGGGGACCGAGUCAAUGUGCUGUGGUACAGGUUUGAGAAAGACCCCUGUUGAUGAACAGCAGGAUGAAGACGAGGCCAGCGGUGCUGAUAUGGAAGAUGAUCCCAUGGACCACGAUGAUCUCACAGGUCAUGAUGAUUACACUCCACUGUUACCGAUGUCAUCGCAUGGACCAUCACAGCCUGUUAAACCAAAGACCACAUCCUCUCUGGUUAAGCUUACGGAAGACGAGGCCAGCGGUGCUGAUAUGGAAGAUGAUCCCAUGGACCAUCACAGCCUGUUAAACCAAAGACCACAUCCUCUCUGGUUAAGCUUACGGACGAUGAGGCCAGCGGUGCUGAUAUGGAAGAUGAUCCCAUGGACCAUCACAGCCUGUUAAACCAAAG